GAUGAACGCUGACAGAAUGCUUAACACAUGCAAGUCUACUUGAAUUUGGGUUUUUAACUUAGAUUUGGGUGGCGGACGGGUGAGUAACGCGUAAAGAACUUGCCUCACAGCUAGGGACAACAUUUAGAAAUGAAUGCUAAUACCUAAUAUUAUGAUAAUAGGGCAUCCUAUAAUUAUGAAAGCUAUAUGCGCUGUGAGAGAGCUUGCGUCCCAUGAGCUAGUUGGAGAGGUAACGGCUCACCAAGGCGAUGAUGGGUAGCCGGCCUGAGAGGGUGAUCGGCCACAAGGGGACUGAGACACGGCCCUUACUCCUACGGGAGGCAGCAGUGGGGAAUAUUGGACAAUGGACCGAGAGUCUGAUCCAGCAAUUCUGUGUGCACGAUGAAGUUUUUCGGAAUGUAAAGUGCUUUCAGUUGGGAAGAAAGAAAUGACGGUACCAACAGAAGAAGUGACGGCUAAAUACGUGCCAGCAGCCGCGGUAAUACGUAUGUCACGAGCGUUAUCCGGAUUUAUUGGGCGUAAAGCGCGUCUAGGUGGUUAUAUAAGUCUGAUGUGAAAAUGCAGGGCUCAACUCUGUAUUGCGUUGGAAACUGUAUAACUAGAGUACUGGAGAGGUAAGCGGAACUACAAGUGUAGAGGUGAAAUUCGUAGAUAUUUGUAGGAAUGCCGAUGGGGAAGCCAGCUUACUGGACAGAUACUGACGCUGAAGCGCGAAAGCGUGGGUAGCAAACAGG
Molecule: ribosomal RNA, 734 nt
Filed under: uncultured Fusobacterium sp.
Lineage: Bacteria; Fusobacteriati; Fusobacteriota; Fusobacteriia; Fusobacteriales; Fusobacteriaceae
Description: bacterial SSU rRNA
Rfam family: Bacterial small subunit ribosomal RNA
Source: RNAcentral